RNAcentral lists this long non-coding RNA (971 nucleotides) under Monodelphis domestica (gray short-tailed opossum). RNAcentral's name for it is "lncRNA (ENSMODG00000050000.1)". The record is from RNAcentral. Lineage: Eukaryota; Metazoa; Chordata; Mammalia; Didelphimorphia; Didelphidae.
CAGCAAUCUAGAGCAAGAAGGAAAAGUGGAGAUUGGAAGAAUCCAUAUAUCACCUUCUGUACUUAAUCUCCAAUUGACAAUAUCCAGGAAUGUUAUAGCCAAAUUCAAGAACUACCAGACCAAGGAAAAAAUAUUACAAGCUGCUAAGAAGAAGUCAUUCAGAUACCACGGAACUACAGUUAGGAUAACAGUAUCUGGCUGCAUCUACAAGGAAGAACCAAAAGGCAUGGAAUAUGAUAUUCUAGAAAGCAAGGAAACUAGGUCUACAACCAAGAAUCAACUACCCAGUAAAACUGACUAUAUUCUUGCAGGGAUAAGUAUGGCCAUUUAAUAAAAUAGAAGACUUCUAAACAUUCAUAAAGAAAAGACCAGACCUGAACAGAAAAUUUGAUGCCCAAAAACAGAACUCAAGAAAAUCACCAAAAGAACUUGCACAUGUAUGAAGGAAAUCUUCUCCUAGCAUCAUGCACGGAAUGUUGUUCUGCCUGUGUCAUCCCUGUGUUCCCAGAGCUACAUCACUUACAUCACCUUGGCUGGUCACCAAGUUACAUCACCUAGGAAAGGAAUCAGCUCCAUAAUGAUGGAUGGAUUUUUGUGACUGGAAGAAAAAGAUAAUUAGUAGUGACUUGAUUAUUGUAUUAUGCAAAAGCUCAACUUUGCAUUAGCGUGGUCUAAUUUUACAUGUGAGCCAUCUCCAACCCAUAUCAAGGCAAGCAUUGUCAAGGAGCCAUUCAGAAUUAAGACCAGAUGAUGUUGGAAGGAGGAUUUGCAAAUCCCAUCUUACCAUCCACUUGGAUCUUUUCUUAAAAGUGUGUUCUCUACACUCUGCCCAAUUUUCCAUCAAUAGUACCAUUAACCCUAAAAUCUAGAUGUGUAAAUGAUGUGUUAAUUGAGUGCCAUAUGGAUCCAUUAAUCAUCCCUGUGACUUUCCAAAAAUGACUUCUCUAAUCACUUCUCUAUAUAUAUUGUCU